RNAcentral lists this ribosomal RNA (376 nucleotides) under uncultured eukaryote. Its description in RNAcentral is "partial 18S ribosomal RNA". It matches the Rfam family "Eukaryotic small subunit ribosomal RNA", at positions 592 to 975 of the family's 1831-position model. The record is from RNAcentral.
CAAUAGCGUAUAUUAAAGUUGUUGCAGUUAAAAAGCUCGUAGUUGGAUUUGUGGUGUACGCCGGCGGCCCGUCGCAAGACGGAGCUUGCUUGCGUCGCCAUCCUUGGGUGGGUCCUGUGUGGCAUUCAGUUGUCGUGCAGGGGAUGCCCAUCGUUUACUGUGAAAAAAUUAGAGUGUUCAAAGCAGGCUUAUGCCGUUGAAUAUAUUAGCAUGGAAUAAUAAGAUAGGACCUUGGUACUAUUUUGUUGGUUUGCGCACCAAGGUAAUGAUUAAUAGGGACAGUUGGGGGUAUUCGUAUUCCAUUGUCAGAGGUGAAAUUCUUGGAUUUUUGGAAGACGAACUACUGCGAAAGCAUUUACCAAGGAUGUUUUCAUUA